GGGAGGUAGUGACAAUAAAUAACAAUACAGGGUUCUUUUGGAUCUUGUAAUUGGAAUGAGUACAAUUUAAAUCUCUUAACGAGGAACAAUUGGAGGGCAAGUCUGGUGCCAGCAGCCGCGGUAAUUCCAGCUCCAAUAGCGUAUAUUAAAGUUGUUGCAGUUAAAAAGCUCGUAGUUGAAUUUCGGGAUCAAGGGAUUGGUCAUGCCUCGGUAUGCACUGGUCUUAUUGGUUCUCACCUUCUAAAGAACCAUGAUGUCAUUCAUUUGAUGUUAUGGGGAAUUAGGACUGUUACCUUGAAAAAAUUAGAGUGUUUAAAGCAAGCUUACGCUUGAAUACAUUAGCAUGGAAUAAUGAAAUAGGACAUCAGAUUCUAUUUUGUUGGUUUCUAGGAUCGAUGUAAUGAUUAAUAGGGAUAGUUGGG
RNAcentral lists this ribosomal RNA (422 nucleotides) under uncultured Glomeraceae. Its description in RNAcentral is "SSU rRNA". It matches the Rfam family "Eukaryotic small subunit ribosomal RNA", at positions 459 to 886 of the family's 1831-position model. The record is from RNAcentral. Lineage: Eukaryota; Fungi; Glomeromycota; Glomeromycetes; Glomerales; Glomeraceae.